Molecule: ribosomal RNA, 383 nt
Filed under: uncultured eukaryote
Lineage: Eukaryota
Description: partial 18S ribosomal RNA
Rfam family: Eukaryotic small subunit ribosomal RNA
Source: RNAcentral
CAAUAGCGUAUAUUAAAGUUGUUGCAGUUAAAAAGCUCGUAGUUGGAUUUCUGGUGGGAGCGAUCGGUCUGGCGCUUAGCGCGAGUACUUGCAUCGUCUCCGGCCAUCCUUGGGGAGAGUCUGUCUGGCAUUAGGUUGUCGGGCAGAGGAUCCUCAUCGUUUACUGUGAAAAAAUUAGAGUGUUCAAAGCAGACUUAUGCCGUUGAAUAUAUUAGCAUGGAAUAAUAAGAUAGGACUUUGGUACUAUUUUGUUGGUUUGCGCACCAAAGUAAUGAUUAAUAGGGACAGUUGGGGGUAUUCGUAUUCCGUUGUCAGAGGUGAAAUUCUUGGAUUUACGGAAGACGAACUACUGCGAAAGCAUUUACCAAGGAUGUUUUCAUUAA